UGUUCUUUUUGUUUUUGCAGAGACUCAACAAUGGAUGAUGAGGAACCUACUAAUGGAUCCUUCUCAGCACGUGUUUUUGCCUUGGUUGUGUCUGUUUGCGCGGAAACAUCUGAAUGAUGAAAAAAGGGUAGUCAUAAACAAGUCAGCUUCGGAUCUAUGAUGAAUAUCGCCUCAUUCUCUGUACUAGAGCCUCAAGAAUGGACGAUGAGAUUGAAGAACCUACUGAUGGGUCCUUCACAACACGUUUUUCAGCUUCUCGCUUGUGUUAGGUUGCUGAGAAACAUCUGAAUGACAACAAGAGGGGAAUCUGAAAUGAUUGCAACUUUGUUUCUUUGAUGAAUAUUUCCCCCUUUUAUGUACCAUAUGAGCUGCUAGACCGGGUAGUCAUGAAGAUUGACCCUAAGCAGGGUUUGUUGAGUCAUAAAAAGAAAGAUAUAUCUGUACUUAAGAAGGCGAGGAACCACGAAAUUGCGACCAUCGAGAGGUCUUGGGUUCUUUUAUGCAUCACGCUUGUGCUAGUGCUUCGCACCGGCAACAUGGUGCCAUUGAGUACCUUGCUAGCCUGAAGGACAUUGCUGAACUCGACGAUUUUGCGUGAGACGAGCGCAUCUUGGCUGCUGCAUUGAGAGGUGAAGAAGUACCGACACAAAGAAGGAGGCUUGGGGUUCCAAGCUUCUUGAUUGGUCGUUGCCUACCAAUGUUUCUGAUAAUAUACAAGGACCAUAUGGAGGUGCCACGAUCAUGCAUUAGUGAGCAAAUGGGGUGGUUCGCGCACCGAAAUGCCAUUGCUCCUCCGCUGCGGCAAGGAUGUCGUGGCAUCGUGCUGCUGCUGCAUGUGAGCUCGUCGAGAUGAGAGCUCAUCUUCCUCAACUCUGGCGGCACCCACCGUUGUGCUGUGUUGCAACACCCUCGGUGCUACCACGUGGGACUGUUGUGGUGGGGCGUCCGCUGCUGGGCUGGGAUUAAUCCGUACCCUUUCAUACUAAGGGGCAUGAUGGUCAUAUUCAAACAAGUUUCGCGGUUUUUUUAGUAACCCAACUCUCGCGGCACCCACCGUUGUGCUGUGUUGCAACACCCUCGGUGCUACCACGUGGGACUGUUGUGGCGGGGCGUCCGCUGCUGGGCUGGGAUUAAUCCGUACCCUUUCAUACUAAGGGGCAUGAUGGUCAUAUUCAAAC
This is a long non-coding RNA of Triticum dicoccoides, 1178 nucleotides long. RefSeq lists it as uncharacterized. The transcript has 4 exons. The record is from RefSeq and is a predicted model, not a curated record. Lineage: Eukaryota; Viridiplantae; Streptophyta; Magnoliopsida; Poales; Poaceae.